This 64-nucleotide transfer RNA is filed under the name Plesionika lophotes. Its description in RNAcentral is "tRNA-Cys". The record is from RNAcentral. Lineage: Eukaryota; Metazoa; Arthropoda; Malacostraca; Decapoda; Pandalidae.
GGUCAUGAAGUGUAUGGCACGCCGAAUUGCAAAUUCGGAGGAGCAGCUGAGGUUGCCUUGACUU